This 618-nucleotide ribosomal RNA is filed under the name Kurtzmanomyces tardus. RNAcentral's name for it is "LSU rRNA". It matches the Rfam family "Eukaryotic large subunit ribosomal RNA", at positions 58 to 663 of the family's 3401-position model. Lineage: Eukaryota; Fungi; Basidiomycota; Agaricostilbomycetes; Agaricostilbales; Chionosphaeraceae. The record is from RNAcentral.
AAAGAAACUAACAAGGAUUCCCCUAGUAACGGCGAGUGAAGCGGGAACAGCUCAACUUUAAAAUCUGGCCCUUUCAGGGUCCGAGUUGUAGUCUCGAGAAGCCACGUCCGCGCCGGACCUUGGACAAGUCGGUUGGAAUACCGCGUCAACGAGGGUGACAAUCCCGUUUAUACCAAGGACGCCCGUGUGCAUUGUGAUGGGCUUUCAAAGAGUCGAGUUGUUUGGGAAUGCAGCUCUAAUCGGGUGGUAAAUUCCAUCUAAAGCUAAAUAUUGGCGAGAGACCGAUAGCGAACAAGUACCGUGAGGGAAAGAUGAAAAGCACUUUGGAAAGAGAAUGAAACAGUAUGUGAAAUUGCUGGAAGGGAAACGAUUGAGGUUAGACUUGCUGGCACGGCACUCAGCCCUCACGGGUGUAUUUGCCGUGCGUUUGCAGGCCAGCAUCGGUUUGCAGUCGGGUAAAAGGGUGCAGGGAACGUAGCAACCUCGGUUGUGUUAUAGACCUGCACUGGAUGCCCGAUCGCAGACCGAGGUCAGCAGGGCGCCGCAAGGCAAUGCCUCUUGGCAUCGAGCCCUUAGGAUGCUGGUAGAAUAGCCUUAACCGACCCGUCUUGAAACACG